UACAGAGGUCCCGAGCGUUGUUCGGAUUCAUUGGGCGUAAAGGGUGCGUAGGCGGUCUGCUAAGUUUGAUGUGAAAUCCCGGGGCUCAACCCUGGAAUGGCAUUGAAUACUGGCGGACUAGAGUACCGGAGAGGAGACUGGAAUUUACGGUGUAGCGGUGAAAUGCGUAGAUAUCGUAAGGAAGACCAGUGGCGAAGGCGGGUCUCUGGACAGUUCCUGACGCUGAGGCACGAAGGCCAGGGGAGCAAACGGG
RNAcentral lists this ribosomal RNA (253 nucleotides) under uncultured bacterium. RNAcentral describes it as "partial 16S ribosomal RNA". It matches the Rfam family "Bacterial small subunit ribosomal RNA", at positions 524 to 776 of the family's 1533-position model. The record is from RNAcentral.